Non-coding RNA from Desulfosporosinus sp. OT, 128 nucleotides. The record is from Rfam. NCBI's taxonomy places the organism in Bacteria, Bacillati, Bacillota, Clostridia, Eubacteriales, Desulfitobacteriaceae.
CAGACGAUAUCGAAAGAGUUGUACUGCUUAGGGGGAAAGUUCAACUGCGAUAAAUGGUACAGGCACGAAACUCAUGCCCGUACCGAAUAUGAAAAACCCGCUUGGAUCGAGAUGACCGAGACGGAGGG